CUGGGCCGUCGCCUCUUUGUGUCCUCCGGGAGCCCAGGCAACAGAGGAGCUUCUUUCCCUUCCCCCUCCUACCUGGAGGCUAGAUUCUCCAACUUAAGGGCAGCGGGUGUGGCAGCUGGAGUGGAGGAGAUUCCAGAGCCUUCAGAGAAGAAGGGAAGUGUCCGGGGAGUGGCCUGCGUGUCUCUUGGACUCUGGUCGUCCGGCCUACUGGGCGUCCCUGGGAGUAAGAAGUGGUUGGUACAGUUCUGUCACCCGAUGUGCGAGUGAAUCUAUGUCUGGUAACUUUCCCUUUCCCCCUUGUGCACAGUCGUGGAGCCUCAAUGUGACUAGGAUGUAAGACCGUUGUUAGUGAUGCCAGCCUGUGGCACCAGAGCGUCUGAGAUGUGGAGAUUUGGAGCUGUAGGAGAGGGUGAACAUCCAUGGCCUUUCACUGUGGCAUGUGUGUGACAGUGGCUGGCAAUGUCGUCUUUUAGACUUUGGGUAUGUGAGUGUCCUGAAACUGUCACCCAGUGUCUUCUCUUUUCUUUCAGAUUUAUUUAUCUAAUAUAUGUGAGUACACUGUAGCUGUCUUCAGACACACCAGAAGAGGGAAUCAGAUCUCAUUACAGAUGGGGUUGCUGGGAUUUGAACUCUAGACCUCCGGAAGAGCAAUCAGUGCUCUUAACCACUGAGCCAUCUCUCCAGCUCCACCCAGUGGGUUUUCAAGAAAGCCAAGUUUUGGACUCACUCUUCUAUUGGAGAGAAGUAUGGUUGGCUAAGUUUAUUUAAUCUUAGUGACUUAUUUAUUCGAGGUGUAUCUUUAUCUAAACAAUCACUCAUCUCCGUAAGCUCUGUAAAUUUGCUGCCUGAGAAAUAAAUUGGAAAUGACUUAAGCAUGGAUUAUAUUGUAGCAAGCAAGUUGCUAUGUCUCUGCCAACUCUGUUUACAGAAGGGAAGGUUGCAACAGGAGGAAGAAACGUAAGAUGGUAGGUAAUGUGGAUUCUGAGAGGAACGCCAAGUUUGCUGUGUUCUUUUCCCAUCCUCAGUUAGCCCGGAUCACCAUUUUGUAGGAGGAGCUGAGAGGAAGAAUGGCUGUCAGACUUCAUAAAGCCGUGCACCGGGGUCUGACUGCGUAGACCAUGUAGGCCUUAAAUUCACGAUGUACCACCUGCUCCAGCCUCAUGACUGCUGGCAUUAAAGCUACCGUUCCACAGGGGAGCUGGGCCCGUUCUACCUGCAGACAGAGCUAGAACCAGACUACUUUCCACUGACCACACCACUUCCUUCCCAUGUUGAACUGUCAUCUCCCACGUGCAUCGUGGCUACAGUCGACCAACUUGGCUCUCGGCUUUCAAUCUGCUUCAUCCCUGCUCUGACAGCAUUAGGCUUCUUAAACUUGAAAUUCUCCUGCCACACACCAUGCCCAGCUGCCUGCAACAUUUCCAUCACUGUUGGUUGACUCUACAUGUGGAAAGGCUAAGUCCAUUAUCAUCAUUUGUUAUGGGACAAAUUAAUUGUGAAUUUGGGAUUUAAAUGCUACAUUUUUUAAAAAAUGUAGCGCUGGCCAGGCAGUGGUGGCACACACCUUUAAUCCCAGCACUUGGGAGGCAGAGGUGGGCGGAUUUUUCU
Mastomys coucha (southern multimammate mouse) is the source of this 1608-nucleotide long non-coding RNA. RefSeq lists it as uncharacterized. The record is from RefSeq and is a predicted model, not a curated record. The transcript is spliced from 3 exons. NCBI's taxonomy places the organism in Eukaryota, Metazoa, Chordata, Mammalia, Rodentia, Muridae.